This 611-nucleotide ribosomal RNA is filed under the name Tyromyces chioneus. RNAcentral's name for it is "eukaryotic LSU rRNA". The stretch from base 210 to 363 matches the Rfam family "5.8S ribosomal RNA". The record is from RNAcentral. Lineage: Eukaryota; Fungi; Basidiomycota; Agaricomycetes; Polyporales; Incrustoporiaceae.
AACGGCUCGAGACAUUAUCGAGUUUUGAAGGAGUUGUAGCUGGCCUCUCGGGGCAUGUGCACGCUCCGCUCAUUUCCAACUCUAACACCUGUGAACUAGCUGUAGGUCGGUUAGGAGUGGGCCUUUGCGGGUCCCUUCGCGCCUUCCUAUGUCUUUAACAAACUCUUGUCGUAUCAGAAUGUAUUCGCGCUUUAUAAACGCAUCAAUAUAACUUUCAGCAACGGAUCUCUUGGCUCUCGCAUCGAUGAAGAACGCAGCGAAAUGCGAUAAGUAAUGUGAAUUGCAGAAUUCAGUGAAUCAUCGAAUCUUUGAACGCAUCUUGCGCCCUUUGGUAUUCCGAAGGGCAUGCCCGUUUGAGUGUCAUUGUAUUCUCAAAUCUCUUCGCUUUUGUGAGAACGAGAUGUAUAUGUAGAGGCUGUGCGUGAGACUGUGCGUGCGCGCUCCUCGAGAGUGUUAUAUGUGGACUCUUGUGAUACACCACUCUCGGUGAGAUAAAUAUGUGCCGCGUGUGUGAAGCGAGACUGUGGAGAAGAUGCGCUUCCUCGCGUCCUCAGACAUACUCAGAUCUGAGAUCUCAUCUCGGAUAAGACUACGCUGAGAUCUUACGUAUC